ACGAACGCUGGCGGCAUGCCUAACACAUGCAAGUCGAACGAGACCAUCGGGUCUAGUGGCGCACGGGUGCGUAACGCGUGGGAAUCUGCCCUUGGGUUCGGAAUAACAGUGAGAAAUUACUGCUAAUACCGGAUGAUGUCUUCGGACCAAAGAUUUAUCGCCCAGGGAUGAGCCCGCGUAGGAUUAGCUAGUUGGUGGGGUAAUGGCCUACCAAGGCGACGAUCCUUAGCUGGUCUGAGAGGAUGAUCAGCCACACUGGGACUGAGACACGGCCCAGACUCCUACGGGAGGCAGCAGUGGGGAAUAUUGGACAAUGGGCGCAAGCCUGAUCCAGCAAUGCCGCGUGAGUGAUGAAGGCCUUAGGGUUGUAAAGCUCUUUUACCCGGGAUGAUAAUGACAGUACCGGGAGAAUAAGCUCCGGCUAACUCCGUG
This 432-nucleotide ribosomal RNA is filed under the name uncultured bacterium. RNAcentral describes it as "partial 16S ribosomal RNA". It matches the Rfam family "Bacterial small subunit ribosomal RNA", at positions 29 to 507 of the family's 1533-position model. The record is from RNAcentral.